Molecule: long non-coding RNA, 635 nt
Organism: Oncorhynchus tshawytscha (Chinook salmon)
Lineage: Eukaryota; Metazoa; Chordata; Actinopteri; Salmoniformes; Salmonidae
Source: Ensembl
CAGGGAUGUGGGACUACACUAAACAGGGAUGUGGGACUACACUAAACAGGGAUGUGGGACUACACUAAACAGGGAUGUGGGACUACACUAAACAGGGAUGUGGGACUACACUAAACAGGGAUGUGGGACUACAAUAAACAGGGAUGUGGGACUACACUAAACAGCGAUGUGGGACUACACUAAACAGGGAUGUGGGGCUAAACAGAGAUGUGGGACAUACUAAACCGUGAUGUGACACUACACUAAACAGGGAUGUGGGGCUAAACAGAUGUGGGGCUACACUAAACAGGGAUGUGGGGCUACACUAAACAGGGAUGUGGGGCUACACUAAACAGGGAUGUGGAACUAAACAGGGAUGUGGGACUACACAGAGAUGUGGGACUACACAGAUAUGUGGGACUACACUAAACAGAUGUGGGGCUACACUAAACAGGGAUGUGGGGCUACACUAAACAGGGAUGUGGGGCUACACUAAACAGAGAUGUGGGGCUAAACAGGGAUGUGGGACUACACUAAACAGGGAUGUGGGACUACACUAAACAGGGAUGUGGGACUACACUAAACAGAGAUGUGGGACUACACUAAACAGGGAUGUGGGACUACACUAAACAGGGAUGUGGGACUACACUAAACAG